Molecule: ribosomal RNA, 405 nt
Filed under: Trichomya hirsuta
Lineage: Eukaryota; Metazoa; Mollusca; Bivalvia; Mytilida; Mytilidae
Description: partial 16S ribosomal RNA
Rfam family: Bacterial large subunit ribosomal RNA
Source: RNAcentral
UGUCAUAAAUAGCGGCGUUAACGUGAGCGUCCUAAGGUAGCGCGAUAAUUUGCCCUUUAAUUGGGGGAUGGUAUGAAUGGGUUAACGCGGGGGUUGCUGUCUCAUAAGAAAAAUNUUGAAGUUAACUUAAAGGUGAAGAGGCCUUUAUAAAUAAAAGGGACGACAAGACCCUAUGAAGCUUUACCUAGAAGGGAAUGAGACAUUUUCUGAUGGUUUUGAUGGGAGAUCAGUAAAAAUAGGUUCUUUGCUAUAAUAAAUUUCUUACAAGAAUUAGCUGUAGUUACAAGUAUGAUUAGCUACUCUAGGGAUAACAGCGCAAUUUUUCUCGAAAGAAGGKAUUGGAAGAAAAGUUUGCGACCUCGAUGUUGGCUUUAGAAUUCCAAAAGGCGAAGAAGCUUUUUAGGU